AACAGGGAAAGGUGGACACAGACUCACAGAGAGGAGAAUACCUUGUGAAGACACAGACACAGAGGCAAGACGGCCAUUUGAAGGCAGAGGCAGAGACUGAGUGAUGUACCUACAAGCGAGGAAUGCCAAGGAUUGCCAGCAACCCCCGGGAGCUGGAGAGACAAGGAAGGACCCUUCCCUGGAGCCUUCAGAGAGAGCAUGACGCUGUCAACACCUCGAUUUAAGACUUCCAGCCUCCGGAAUGGUGAGAGAAUAGAUUUCUGUUGUUUGAAGCCAUCCAGUUGGUGGUAAUUUGUUACAGCGGCCCUAGGAAACUAACACAGUCGCUCUGCGGAGACACUGUAUUCAGUGGACGUUAUUUCCUGCCUUCAGCUAAAUCUUCCUGGUUCUUGGAAAUUUUAGCAUGAAUGAGAUUAAGAGAAAAGACUUUAGAGUUCUGAAAAAUGUGCUGCAGCUGAUACCUUGUCAGGGUAUUAGGCAAGAAAGCAGAUUACGGAGGACAAUAGAAAAUGCAUCCAUCGCUCUCGGACUCAGAAAUUUCUUUCAGCAGCAGUGGCCGCAGCAAGAGCUGCUUUUCCUGCUACUCACAGGUGUCAGAAUAACACUGUAGGGAGGCUCUUUCACACUCAGAGUGCUCAUCAGUACAAACCCAGUGGAAAGCCAGCACCACCCAGUGCGUUACAGUGUGCCCAGGGGCCAGCCACGUCUGCCCCUCCCACUUUAGGCCCCGUGCCCUGGACUGCAGGGCAUAUGCAUGGACAUGGUGCUGAUGCCCUCCACCAUGGCAGCCUAGCUGAUCACCAGCACCUUGCGGUCUCUCUGAUUCACUUAUUUGCUUGCCACACAGCCAUGGAGUACUACAGAGUGGUGACAAGACAUUUGGAAUAAGAUCUGCUUCUGAAAGGGAGGUGGAGUGGCCAAAUGAAAGGCAGGUGUUCUGGGGAUAGAGAAAUCCAGAGAUGGGGAAGGAGACGGACUCGAUUAUAGUGUAUGAUCAGAUCAAGUCAGGGAUGAACAGCCAAGCACUUCUUAUUUUUCAAGAAUCUCAUCAAGCUUAUGGUCUGGGCUGAUAAAUUUUACCAGAAUGGAAGAAGCAUGCCCAUCCAGAAAGCCAGCUGUCUCUUUCUGGGCUCUGCUAAGGUCUUUGGGUUCCAGAUUACAAAGACCUUUUCUCUUUGAAUUCCAUGGCAGAAGCCAGGGCGAGGGCCCGAGGGAGGAGCCAGGGUGGCCUUGCACGGAGUGCUGCUGCCUUUCUGGGUCAAGGUGGUGGCCUGACUCAUCCAUCUACUUUGCCUAAUUCCUUUGGGAUCCUUGAGCCCAAAAGUCCCAUCUGGUUUCAGUAUCAAGCUCAAAGCUGAGGAUCUCAUGACAGCCUCUAUGUUAGAGAAUGAGGCGCAGUCUCAUCGGUCUGGAGUAUGGCUGCUCUUGAUCUGGAAACUAGUGGACUAGAAAGGAACUUGAAAGUGGGACUCCACAAGCAACUGACAGAAAGACAGCCUCACCCUCAUCAACCACCAUUCUUGCUCCUCAUCUCACUGGUUCUUCAGAAGAGGGGACUCGAGCAUUGGGAAGGGAGUUGGACUGCUGGCCCCACGCUUCUUCCCAAGUCUGUUUAAUCAACUAUUCUACUUAUUCUUUCAUUUGUUCAGGAAGCAUCCAUUGGUCUGUGAUUUGUAAGCACUUCAUGAUAUUUCAUGAAAUCUCUACAUUCCAUCCAUUUGGCUUGCUGGAAGUUCAGUGACCCUGAGUCUGGAGGCAGGGGGUUAUUAUCACCUACAUUUUACAGAUGUGGAAACUCAGGCUCAAAAAGGUGGCGUAACUUGCCCACAGUCUCAGCUGUAAAGUGGGAAACCGGGAAUCUAGUUAAGUCUGUCUGAAUCCAGAGCUCCUGCAUUUUCCUCCUGGAGCAGGGUAUCGCUCCUUCUCCCAUCCACAGGCUUGGGGUUGGUUUGGGGUCGGUUGUAUGGUGGUGGUGGUGGUGGCCAUAUGGCACAGGGAGGAAGAACACCAUGCUUCUCAGGUAAUACGGAGGAUAGUGCAAUAUGCAGACGUAGACACAAGGGGGCAGAGAGCCACAGGGCACACAGCUCCCCUGGCCGGGGCUGGGUAUGGUUCUUGUUUCUUGCUUCCUAUACUUUUUUUUUUAAAUUAAGAAAAGGAUGUGUACAACUAUUAAAUAUAUACCUGAACUAUAAAUGUUUCAUAAUAUGCUGCAAGAAAUAGUGGAGGAAUUGAAGAACGUAAAACAAAUGUGGAGAGGAAAGAAUGAGAGCAGUGACGUCUCAACACGGUACAAGGCAAAGAGUCACUUAAAAUUUCUUUUUUCUUUUUUUAUGAGUAUGGUGAUUUAGAUGAAACAUUGCAACAAUUUCUUACUCAAUGGUAUUUUAAUUCCUACCUUUUCUUUUUUUUUGGAAAAAAAUUAGACCUCUUUAAAUUAUUUUUACUGGAGGGAAAAAUAUCUUUAAUUAUGGAACAGGAAGGGAAUAUAAUCUCAUUUUAUAGGAAAGAAGUCUGCAUGGAUGGUGUUUUAUUUUAGUCUUUCAGUAUUUUAGAAUGUUAGUACUCAGACUUGAAGUCAUGUUGUGUUUCUACAACUGUAGGCAGAAAUAGGCUCAUCUCUUGAUAUUGCCCGCAGAGUGAAUGGAGUUAAGGCAAGAGCCGGAUCUGGUGUAGCUGGUCCAGGGAGCCCCCUUGGGGCCCUCACUUUACAUGAUGUGAAGUUCAGUAUGUCCACGGCCUACAGGAGAAAAUAAUUUUGGCUUUUUUUGAAGGAGUCUGGAACAUGCUUUCAAAAACGAAGACUCUCCCACUUAAACCACAUGGAAAUCUGAAGCAUUCUAUUUUGUGUGCUGUGAUUAUUGGUCACUGAAGCUUCAUUAGUGAAAAGAAACACCCAGCAGAGCAGGAGCCAAGCGUUUGGUCUAGUGAGAAAUGAGGGCCUGAAGCUGUCAGCUGCAGAAUGGAAGGGGGGCCCGUGGCAGGGCAGUACCUUCCUGCCCUGUAACUCAGAACCAGCAAAGGGGGUCAAUGUUUUGCUUGUUUAGUCCCUUAUUAAACUGGACUUCAUCUCCAUAUUGAUCGCCUUCCGUGCAGGUGAAUGGAUAUGUUAGGAGUGUAUUGUUCUGAUCAGUCCUGGUUGUCUAGCGAUAUAUCCACUGAUACGGAUAAGGCCAUCCCUCAUAACCCUUGUUGGAGCCAUGCUCCUCUGCAUCAUGCAGACACAUUUCCUUGGCAAAGAAGACCAGUGUUUGAUGUUCAGAAAUGAGAGAACCCAAGGAGCCUCAGCUCUUUGUGGAACACACUGGGGAGAAGUUAUGAGUAAUAAAGUGGGUGACAUGAGGGCUGAAGUUUAAGAACUCCUGUGGCAGUUUGGUUGGGCUCAGUUGGAGGGUGUGGGAGGAAUGUGAUGGGGCUGAACCCAAAUUAUGGAGGAAACUUCAUCAUGCCAGACCAAGGAGGAAGUGAGGGAUCCAUUGGGUGGCUUUAAGCAGGGAAUAAUAUGACCACACUGGAGGUGGAAAGUCUGGCGGUGGGGAGAUCAAUUCAGACCCUCUUGCAACAGUCCAGGAGCGGUGGUACCCUGGAUCAAGGGACUAGAGGAGAGAAGGGGAUGGACAAGAGUGCUCAGGGAGGUGGACUUGAUGACCACUAGCUAAUGGGAUUUGAUGAGGUGAUGCAUGUGAAGUGUUUAGCACAGUAUCAGGCCCACAGGAAGUUACUGAUAAACAGCAGCUGCCAUUGUAUGGGCGGACAGGAGAGGGAGCCGUUACAGAGGAGGGGAGCCUUGAACAUUCUACAGUGCAACCCGACCCAGGAGUGAUGGAAUCAGUUACUCCGAGACUAAGAGGAUCACAGGAGUGAAUGAAGCCCACCACUGCCUCACAGCAGAUCCUAAUUCCUGAGAGGACCUCCUUUCCCCUCACACCCCGCAAAGACAGCUGCAGAUUCCUCAGAAAAAUCUUCCCACUGUCCAUGGGCUUCUAUCCUUUUUCCUUUCUCCCCAUCAGAGCAGCUUGCCGGGCGGGGUUCAGUCCUGCAGUGGACAAUCCAAUCUGAACAUGGACGUCUACAGCUUAACGGGUUACCCACCGGCCCAGCUGUUGGCCAUGCUCACAGGGUAACUAGGAAG
Molecule: long non-coding RNA, 4132 nt
Filed under: Equus caballus (horse)
Lineage: Eukaryota; Metazoa; Chordata; Mammalia; Perissodactyla; Equidae
Description: lncRNA (ENSECAG00000047018.1)
Source: RNAcentral